AUUAAAAUGAAUAGGUUAAUAUUUUGAUUGGUCUUAAAGCAUUGGAUUGGUAGCUAAUUGCAAGAGGGGAGUGUCAGUGAUGCAUUGUGGCCUUGCUGAUAUGUGUGAUCUUCUCAGUUAUAGGUUUGAUUUUGUUUGAGGAUUAUGCUCUAUUUUUUUUUGUUUUUUUGGUUCCACAAGACUUCUCUAUUCUUACUCCUCCUACAACUCUUGUCUUUUCUUGUUCUUGACUCAUUUUGUUUACCUAAAUAUUUUUUAUUUGAGACUAGACUAGUUAGGGACUUAUAUAUA
Long non-coding RNA from Humulus lupulus (European hop), 291 nucleotides. RefSeq lists it as uncharacterized. Lineage: Eukaryota; Viridiplantae; Streptophyta; Magnoliopsida; Rosales; Cannabaceae. The transcript is spliced from 2 exons. The record is from RefSeq and is a predicted model, not a curated record.